This 497-nucleotide ribosomal RNA is filed under the name uncultured bacterium. Its description in RNAcentral is "partial 16S ribosomal RNA". It matches the Rfam family "Bacterial small subunit ribosomal RNA", at positions 28 to 523 of the family's 1533-position model. The record is from RNAcentral.
GAUGAACGCUGGCGGCGUGCCUUAAGCAUGCAAGUCGGACGGUGAUUGUCCUUCGGACAAAAGCAGUGGCGGACGGGUGAGUAACGUCUGGGAAACUGCCCGAUGGAGGGGGAUAACUACUGGAAACGGUAGCUAAUACCGCAUAACGUCGCAAGACCAAAGUGGGGGACCUUCGGGCCUCACACCAUCGGAUGUGCCCAGAUGGGAUUAGCUAGUAGGUGGGGUAAUGGCUCACCUAGGCGACGAUCCCUAGCUGGUCUGAGAGGAUGACCAGCCACACUGGAACUGAGACACGGUCCAGACUCCUACGGGAGGCAGCAGUGGGGAAUAUUGCACAAUGGGCGCAAGCCUGAUGCAGCCAUGCCGCGUGUAUGAAGAAGGCCUUCGGGUUGUAAAGUACUUUCAGCGGGGAGGAAGGCGGUGAAGUUAAUAGCUUCACCGAUUGACGUUACCCGCAGAAGAAGCACCGGCUAACUCCGUGCCAGCAGCCGCAGUAA